ACUGUAUGCUACUUUCAUAGCCUAUUAGAGAAAAAUAUAUUUAUGCACUAUGAUGAGUAGUAGAAUAUCAUGCAUGGUAUUUCUAAAAUAUAACAAUAGAAAAAUAAAAUAAACAUAAGCAAAACAAAAUAACAAAAAUAAAAUAUAAUAAUAAAAACAAAUUAUGAAGCACCCACGCAAGCAAGUGACCUGCAAGAUGACUGUGUGACGAGCGUCACACACGCCAUCACGGUCGUCACACCAAGUGCCUGUGACGCCCGUAACACCUUCUGUCACGAGCGUGACAGCUUCAGACCAGGUGAACGUUAGUAACCGUUGGGGACACGACCGUUACACCACCCCACUUUUUACCUUCCCCAUUCAUUCACCCAUUUACUCACAUUUACCCACAUUUAUUUUUC
RNAcentral lists this long non-coding RNA (401 nucleotides) under Lathyrus oleraceus (garden pea). Its description in RNAcentral is "Pisum sativum (pea) long non-coding RNA (PSAT_LNC029540)". Lineage: Eukaryota; Viridiplantae; Streptophyta; Magnoliopsida; Fabales; Fabaceae. The record is from RNAcentral.